This 253-nucleotide ribosomal RNA is filed under the name uncultured bacterium. RNAcentral describes it as "partial 16S ribosomal RNA". It matches the Rfam family "Bacterial small subunit ribosomal RNA", at positions 524 to 776 of the family's 1533-position model. The record is from RNAcentral.
UACGUAGGGUGCAAGCGUUGUCCGGAAUUACUGGGCGUAAAGCGUGCGCAGGCGGUUCGUUAAGUCAGCUGUGAAAGCCCCGGGCUUAACCUGGGAAUGGCGGUUGAAACUGGCGAACUUGAAUCUGGCAGAGGGGGGUGGAAUUCCACGUGUAGCAGUGAAAUGCGUAGAGAUGUGGAGGAACACCGAUGGCGAAGGCAGCCUCCUGGGCCAACACUGACGCUCAUGCACGAAAGCGUGGGGAGCAAACAGG